ACAUGGUUAGGAGUUCUCCAGGAAACAUCAGACUGCAGGUUAACUGGGAAGUGGAAAAACAUUUGAGAAGAAGGCUUUCUAAUGGGGCAUUCAUUGCCAUUGUAAUGGAGUCCCUCCAUCUUGCUGCUGAUGGUCCACUUCUUCUCGUUCAUUCCACUUUUCCCAGCACCAGAAUAGCUCCAUGGAGUUAAUUUUUGCUUAAUAGGUUCAAAACAAGAAUAUAAUUCCAUCACAAUUCAGCUCUCCAUGUUCUCUUGGUUUCAGUGGAAGGGUGUGGCUGGACCAGUAAACAAUGUCCAUUCUUUGAUGGCUUUUUACUAAUGCAAUUUAAUUAAACAUACUGCAAUGUUUGCAA
Molecule: long non-coding RNA, 355 nt
Organism: Pantherophis guttatus
Lineage: Eukaryota; Metazoa; Chordata; Lepidosauria; Squamata; Colubridae
Source: RefSeq, a predicted model, not a curated record